This 352-nucleotide ribosomal RNA is filed under the name Durinskia baltica. Its description in RNAcentral is "partial Eukaryotic large subunit ribosomal RNA". Lineage: Eukaryota; Dinophyceae; Peridiniales; Kryptoperidiniaceae. The record is from RNAcentral.
GUCGUAUACAAAAGAUUUGUCUCUCCCCGUGUGUUGCACUUUUGUUUCCGCCUCGUCUGCUGUCGGUUUGUUCCGACAGCGAGAGCCGUUGCAAUGGUAUGGUCUUGGACUAUUGCUAGUCUAUACGGACGCUUGUACACGAUUGGGGAAAGCUGCGACAUCGUUGCUUUCCAGCAUGGAUUCUGGCUUAGAGGCGUUCAGCCGUAAUCCUACACAUGGUAGCUUCUCCGCAUUGACGUUUCCAUCAACGGAAAUGACCAAUUAUGUGAACCAACGGUUCCUCUCGUACUGGAUUGGAUUACUGUCGCAACGACACUUCAUCAGUAGGGUAAAACUAACCUGUCUCACGACG